GGAGCUGUAACUCAAUGGUAGAGUGUCUGAUUCCAGAUCGGAAUUUCCAGAGUAAGACUCUCUCACAGUAUCCUAAUUGCCUCAAUAGUUGACUAACAAUUCCUCCAGUGGUUGGGUGUUCGAUUCACUUCAGCUUCA
Transfer RNA from Penicillium steckii, 138 nucleotides. It matches the Rfam family "tRNA". Rfam says of the family: Transfer RNA (tRNA) molecules are approximately 80 nucleotides in length. Their secondary structure includes four short double-helical elements and three loops (D, anti-codon, and T loops). Further hydrogen bonds mediate the characteristic L-shaped molecular structure. tRNAs have two regions of fundamental functional importance: the anti-codon, which is responsible for specific mRNA codon recognition, and the 3' end, to which the tRNAs corresponding amino acid is attached (by aminoacyl-tRNA synthetases). tRNAs cope with the degeneracy of the genetic code in two manners: having more than one tRNA (with a specific anti-codon) for a particular amino acid; and 'wobble' base-pairing, i.e. permitting non-standard base-pairing at the 3rd anti-codon position. The record is from Rfam. NCBI's taxonomy places the organism in Eukaryota, Fungi, Ascomycota, Eurotiomycetes, Eurotiales, Aspergillaceae.